This 449-nucleotide long non-coding RNA is filed under the name Dermacentor andersoni. RNAcentral's name for it is "uncharacterized LOC126540417". The record is from RNAcentral. Lineage: Eukaryota; Metazoa; Arthropoda; Arachnida; Ixodida; Ixodidae.
GCCGGGUUGUGAGUGCAAGCGAUACACUAUUCUGCGCCUGUCGGAAAGUGACAACCUGGUGAGGUGUGAAUAUUGUGACCACGUCCCAAAUGCACACGGAAAAAUAUGUGAUCUCGAAACGAAAAAUGCAGCCGAGGCAAAGGCGCAAUGCAAUGUGCCAGGCACCGUGUUUGAGGCCUCAGUGUCAGAUGAAACCGUGGAAGCUUGCACAUCUAGUCUCUCCUCGGUGCAAUAUGCAGUACAAGUUUUUACAUGGACAGUUAACACGAAUUUAUUGACGACAUGCAUGGCUGAAACACGGUGAUAUGAUUUUAAAAAUUCCUGUGAUAUGAUGCAAGUGAUAGUUUGAAUUUUCAGAUCUAGUCAUGUGCCAGCAAGGCCUGCUGUAUUUGUGGUGUAUUCUAUGUUGUAUUUUCAAAUAAAGAUGUUGCAUUCUGAAGUUAACCUUA